RNAcentral lists this ribosomal RNA (231 nucleotides) under uncultured bacterium. RNAcentral describes it as "partial 16S ribosomal RNA". It matches the Rfam family "Bacterial small subunit ribosomal RNA", at positions 15 to 236 of the family's 1533-position model. The record is from RNAcentral.
GAUCAUGGCUCAGGAUGAACGCUAGCUACAGGCUUAACACAUGCAAGUCGAGGGGCAGCGGGAUUGAAGCUUGCUUUUGAUGGGCGUCGACCGGCGCACGGGUGAGUAACGCGUAUCCAACCUGCCCAUCACUUGGGAAUAACCUUGCGAAAGUAAGACUAAUGCCCAAUGAUAUCCCACGAAGGCAUCCGAAUGGGAUUAAAGAUUUAUCGGUGAUGGAUGGGGAUGCGU